AUUAAAUAUUCGUUUAAAAAAUUAAUGAAAAUUUGGGUCAGUCCGUCCAAGUUUGGAGGGCUUUUAGAUGGUCUAAACCUGUUAUCAAUAACAUUUGCUUGAGUUUGAACUUAAGAAAAUGCAGCUCAAGGUCGCAAUUUAUCAUCCCAAAUAUUUAAAGUUAAAAAACGAGGUGAUGUCUUUCCGAGGCCACCUAAUCGCCACAAUUAAAUUGCCUUCUUAGUACUGCCUUCAUUACCUGUUUACCACCAUGUUCGUUUUGGAAUCACUUCACCACUUUGUCUCCACCCAGGUGGUGUUGAUUUUAUGAAUUGAUAUAUAAAUAUAUGCAUAGGGCGUUUUUUCGUGUUCCUAAAAUACCUUAUAAUACAUGAUACAUCAAAUUCUAAAAUUAUUUCAAUAGAGUAAUUUUAAAAUUAUUUUCUUAUGUUUUGUUAGAACCUCUAUAAAUUAAUAUUCGAUAAAUUAAUAAUCUCUAUUAUAUAAUAAGUUAUUACCAUCUUGUCUUGGGCCAAUGGACUAAAUCAAUAAUUACGAUAAAUUAAUAACAUAAUAUUUUUCUUAAAAAAAUCUUAUAAAACUUUGUGGUCUUGUUUAAAUCAUAAAUUAAUAAUUUGCUAAAAUUACCAAUGUAGUUGACUAUAAUAUAUUAAUUAAUAAAAUAUGACUCUAUUGUCACUUGCUUACAUAAAAUAUGACUUUAUUGUUACUUGUUUUUUUUCCUACAAUUUAAAUUUAGUUAGAUCUCAUCUCUUAUUUUUCUUAUUGUAUCUAGAAGUCCUAAAAUUGACAUCUCGAAUUGUAAAUUUACAAUAACAAAUGAAGUGUUAUCUAUGUAUGUUUACCGCAUGGUAAAUAACUCUGUAAAUUAAUAAAUUAUUAAUUUAUCGAUUAAUUGAUAAAUUAUUAAUUCAUUGAUUAUUUAAUUCUCUUUUAAUUAAUAGAUUUUAAAUGGUCUUAGUCCUAUUAAUUUAUAGAGAUUCUACUAAUAUAUAUCAUUCUAGCUUGCAUGUUAAAUUUUAAAUUUGUUUAUAGGGAAACUACGCCGAUGAUUAAGGCAAGUUCCGAAGUAUUCAAAACCUUUUAAAUUUAUCAACUAUCCACCCAAAAAUUUGCAUUAUAUAUAUAUAUAUUUAAUAUUGCCAUUUUAUGUGUGUGCGUGUGUGUGCGUGCACAUGUGUGAAACAACAUCAUAUUAAAUGACUAAAUUAUCCUUAUUACAUAAUAAAAUUUAAAGGUAGCUAAUGACAUAAUGAAAAUUUUAUACAUUCUACAAACUUUGGGUGGAUUGUUGAUAAUUUAAAAAAUCUUUGUAUAUUUUCAAACUUUCAUUAAAUAUUAGUGAGAAAAUUAAUAAUUCCUUUAACAAUAGUUAUUGUCCAAAUAUCCACCGACUACCUAACACUUCGUAUUUUUCAAAAAUACACCAAAACUUUUUUCUUUUGCAGUUUUUUAUCUAAAGUCUAUAAAAUGUAUCACUUUUAUACUUUGCUAUUAGUAUUGUUAGAGGAUUUAAUAGAAUAUUGAUAAAUAAUUAUUUUGUCCUGAAUGUAAAAAAAAAAAAAAAAAACCUAUUGGUUGUUAUUUUGGAUAAUUUUGGAAUGUGUUGUUAUUUUGAAUUGGUAGGAAUAAAUUGUAAACUUUAAGUUCCCUAUAACUAGUUUUAUGUCGUUAUUUUUUUAUUGGUAGGAACACACUAUAAUAUUUGAAGUUUCCUGUAACUGGUUUUAUAGUUAUUUUGAUUAUAUUUUGAAUAAUUAUGAUUGUAUUUAUUGGUGAUUUAUUGUUGUUGAAGAUUUGUCAUUGUUGUAAAAAAUAUGUUAUAUAGGAUAAAUUAUAUGAACAUGGAUUCUUGAUUUAUGUUGUAAGUGAGGUAUAAAUUAGUUGGUUUGAUGAGUCAAUAGCUACAAAAUGAAAUUUGUUUUUUAGUCAUUUAGCAAGAAUUAAAUAUGUUUUUACAUUUAGAAGUAAAAUAGUUAUUUUAUCAAUAUUUUGUUAAAUCCUCUAACAGUGUUAAUGAAAAAGUAGAAAAGUGUAUUGUAAACUUUAAGUAGAUAGCUGCAGAACAAAAAAUAUUUAGUAAUUUUUUUAUAAAAUGUGAAACAUUAGAUGGUCGAUAGAUAUUUACCCAUAGUUAUUUGAUAAAUGAACCUUAUGUAAUACCAAACAUUUCGCUAUCUUUGUAGCCGUGCACACAUACACACAUAUAUUAUUUCUAAUAUUCUUUUAUUAGUACCUAUCUCUUUAGAUAAAAAAAAAAAUUCUCUUUCAAUUUUGAUUAUUUAUCCAUUAUAGUAUCGUAUUAGAUAUUAUAUUUGACUGUUAUUAUUAUAAAUUGCCUUAAAAACAAUUCAUUAUUAUCUUAUUCGUAAUAAUGAUCAUGCAGGUAAUAUUUUAAACAUUAUACAAAUGUCUUAGUUUUUUGUAUGAUAAUGAUAGAAGUAAUGCUUUAUGUAUUAAGAAUUAUAUAAACUUGUGUAAUUUAUGGUUAUUCAGUCAUUAAUUUAAGGAUAAAACUGUAACUCUAAACAAAAACUUGGGGAAAAUAUCAAAUAUCAGCAUUUGGCAACUAAAAGGAAAAAAGACUUUUUACCCUUACGGUUUUGAUGCAAAUACUUAUUUCAUCCUUAUUUUUUAAAAAAUAAUUCAUUUCAAUCCUACCACAAUAGUCUAAAACACUUUCCUGCGAACUUACAAUUAGUUUAUUAUAUAAUUUGUUAAUGACAAAAUAAGAUUUUCAAUUAAAUAGAUGCAAAUCAUUUUAAAAUAAAAAUUUUAAAAACAAAAAAAUAACAUUUAACUAUUUGUAUAAAUUUAAAAUUUAAGAAUAAUUUAAUGAAAUAAAUAUAGCACUAAAGAAUAUGCUCUAUAUAUGUAAAUAUGUUUGUCUGCGUUUUCAUUAAAUUUUGUAAUGAAGUCUACUAAAUUUUUUUAAUAGAUAUGUAUAUGUAAUAACAACAACAACAAUAAUAAUUUUUUUUCCAAUUAAGGGUUAAUGACCAUAUUAAAGUCAAGAAUAAAUUAAAAGAUAAAAAAAUACACUCUAUUGCAGAGUAUUUUAUUCUGCAGUAGUAUAUUAAAUUUGUGUUUUUUUUCCUUAUCGUGUGCUUUUUUAAGUAAGUAUAAGAGUCUGUAUUUAUUUUUAAUAAAAUAACAGUACUAUUUAUUUAUUUAUUUUUAACCAUAUUAAAAUUAAAGACAAGCAAAAAGAUAAAAAGAAAAAGAAAAACUCACUCUAGUGCCCAUAAAAUUUAUAUUUUUUAUUUUGUCCUAAAUAUAUAAGUACAUAGUAUUUAGUAUUAUUAUUGUUAAUUUAUUAAUUAUCCUUAAACUUUAAAUUUAUAUAGAAAGUCACAUGUUAUUUAAUUAUAUUUGAUAAUCUUACUUUAAAAUAGUUUGUAUCUCCUUAACUAAAAAUUCUAUUUUUUCUCAAUGAAUUAUGUAAUAAAUUGAUGAUAAAUUAAUUUAACGGUGUUUUAAGUUAUUGUUUGAAAAAUAAGAUAAAAUCAGUUAUUAUUUAAAUAAUAAAGAUGAAAUGGACGGAUGAGGGAUAAAAGAAUUUUUUCCUGCCGAAAACUUAAAGCAGAGGAAAAAUAAUAAUAAUAAUAAUAAAGGUCACAAUCCACUUACGCACGUGUACUUUUCUUGAAUAGGCAGUUGUAAACUUUUAGUCACUGUUCAGUGACUUUAUCUUCGGGCGACGGGUUGCCUGUCGCACCCACCUGGAGAUUCAUUAAAACUGUAUUAUUUUAAUAGGACUCAAAUAAUUUUUUUUUAUAAUUUCAGGCUUAAUGGAUUCAGUUGUACUUGAAUUGUGUUACGAUGGUUGGUGGGAGACAUUAGAGAAUGGCCGUAUGGAGUACGUGAAUGGUAAAAAUUGAGCUUUUUUGGUUGGAAAAAAUUAUCUGUUUGAUCAAUUAUUGGCAAGAGUAUACGAGGUGUUACAAAUAAACCCUAAUGACUAUAGUAUCACAAUGAAGACAACUUUGAGGUCUAGUAACACAUUAUAUCGUAUAUGUGCAAUGCCCAUGGAUAUAUGUGACGAUGAAAUGGGGAGGGUUGUGUUGCAUAUGGCAUCUGACGCUGCUCUGGUAUUGGGUUUGGUAUGUCGUCAUGAUCGUCAUGCUCGUCUGAUUGCCUUGUAACCGACGGCAUCGCGUUGAUUGAGGGUUGGUGUUGUAUAAAGUAUCAUUUAAAAUUAGUAAAUGAAAAGUCAAAAAUUUCGAUUAACAAAUUUUUAGUACUUAGAGUAUACCGGCCUUAUGAACCCAGUUUGGAAUGCUUGGCAAGUAAUCCUUCACAGAGAGCCAAUAUUUUCUGCUACUCUCCUUUGAAUUUGGCUCAAGAGUUUGUAAAACGUCCCCCUGCCAUAAAUUCAAUUGAAAAUUUUAAGUAAUUAUACAUUUCUUAAAUUUAGUAAAGUUAAAAAAAUAAGUAAUACAUAUUGCUUACAAGACGAGAUUCGUCGUUGAAGAACGAAUAAACCUCAGCAAAGUUGAUUCUCAAAGACACCAUGGGCUUCCAUUGCAGAAUGCGGGGAAUCUUAUUCUUCGUUUUGACGACCCAUGUUGAUGGCAACCCUCCGAUUGCUUCGUAAAUCCAAGCCUACAACAACCAAAGUGAAAAAUCAAACAAAACAACUAUCAAAUAUUUAAUACUAUAAAACUUAUUAAUAAACAAAAAAAAAGCACCUGAACCCCAGACGUAAAGCCGUAAAGAUUGUAUUUUUCAAUAUUAUGAUCUGGAUUUUUCAACAGAGUCUUCUUAAAUUUCUCGUCUUUCUCGAACAGUGCAUUGUCAAGACUCUCGUAAAUCAUUUCCCACGACAAUAGACCCCAUGGACGCUUUCGGAAGUACUAGAUAUCAUCAACUUGGUCAAGCCAAUCGAAAUUAAUUUGGCAGUGAUUUUUUCUUGCAUUUAGUACUCUGUCCGCAAAAUAAAACAGCUCAAUCUUUAAUGCGUCCAUAUCGUCCAUUUCCUCGAAUUUCAACUCCUUAAAUACUGCAUCGAAUUGCUUCACAUUAAUCUUACGAUGCACCCCACCAAAAUACGUAUUCCGUAGCCUCUGCUCCAUUUCAUCAUUUUCUUGAUUGGUAUCAACACCAAAUGAAAGUCCAGUAACCAAGCACCAUUCGACAAUUGACAAGCGAAUCAAAUGCUUACUAAUUUGAAACCAUAACUGAUCCUCACGACUAUCUUCUUCAUGGGCCACUUGCCGCAGUAAAAGAUUGUGCAAAAUUACCCCACUAAAUAGAAAACUUCGACACUCCAAGAAAUGCCCAAAUAUAUCCUUUUUGAACAUACUCAACUGCCGCUUUGUUAAUUUUUCCUCGAUGGCUUUUACGACCGAAGAUAACAUACACAUGCUCGAAAUUCGACUAGGAAAGUGAUCAGCAUAACGAAAAUACAUUUUGCCUACUUCAAUAUCCGGUGAUUCUGAUUUCGCUAUGUAUCUGUAAUAUUUAUAAAAUUAUUACAUUAGAGAAAAAAAAAUUGACUCGUUAAAAAAAAACUAUAAUUUUUUGUGCGACAGGCGUUUGUCGCACCAAAAAAUUGGUGCGACAGCCAAGCCUGUCGAUCCAAAAAAUUGGUGCGAUAGCCAAGCCUGUCGCACCAAAACUGGUGCGACAAGCGCGCCUGUCGCACCAGCUUUGGUGCGACAGCAAGCCGCGCAUGGGCGCGCGCUGCUGCCCAGCGAUGGGCGCGCGCGCGCCCUGCCCCCCUCCCUCCCCACCCCUAAAAUUAAGCGCAAUCACUCCAAAAUCGAAAACAAUACUCCCAAACACCACCAACCACCACAAACAUCAUCACCACCACUAUUAUUCUCAAGCUAUAACUAUUAUUAUUCUAAAAUCUCAUUUUAAAUUAAUGAAAAUAAGAAAAAUAACUAACCUAGGUUUUGUUGAAGGUUGUAGAUCGUAGAUCGGAUGCCGGUGAGAGAUGGAGCCGCCGCCGACGAGGGUUGAUGUCGCUGCCGAUGAUGGGAGUUGGAUCGGUUUGGGAGAGAUGAGUGAAAGGGAGUGUUGGGGGAGAGAUGAGGGAGGGGUAUUUUGGUCUCAAAUGUUGUUUUAUGGUUAAUGUUGAUAGAAAUAUUUUUGGGGGGUUAAGAUGAAAAAAAGCAAAAAUUUUUUGGUUAUUACUGUAAAUUUCCCUAAUUUUUUCCUUCUAUUAGUUCGUCAAAGUUGUACGGACGGAUAUUCCGGUGUAACGAGGCUCUGUAUUUUUUCUGGGCAACAAAAAAGAAAAUACUAUCGGAUCUGAGAUGGUUUUUUUUUACUAGAUUUUAUGUGAUCAUUUUUUGCAUGUUACCAAUAUUCUUUGGACAAAAAUAAAUUUAAUCUACUAAGAAUAUAGUUUUUUUUUUUUUUUUCACUUUAAUGCUCCAAAUUUUUACACUAUGAGGAAGAAGCUCGAUACACGUUUUCCAGCUGUAAGUCUUCUAUUUCUCUCUCUUUUAUUUAAUUAUUCUAGCUUAGUAGCUUAAUUUACUGAUUGAUUGGUUGAUAAUUAGGAUUUCUUGUUUUUUUUGCCCUAAAAGUUAGUUUAUAUAUAUUUUUAAUUUCAUUUUUUGAUAUUUGUGGGAAUAUUUGAUCUGGGUCGGCUUUUCCUCGUAAUUUGAAAUUGGUUUCUUUGCUUGAAUCGAUAUUUACUAGAACUUAGUUGUGGGUUCUCAGUUUUAGGGAUUUACGGGGCAUGGGUGAUCUGGGUGGUGUUUUGAUCUAAUUUUGGAUUCUACUGAUUGAUUAUGAUGGUGGUGUGUUGUAAAAAUUUUUUUAUGGGAGGCUCAGUUUCGGGUGACUUAUGUUACAAAAUGACCUGGGUUUUAUCUUGUUUUUUGUUUUAGAUACUUGCAUAGUAGGAUUGUGGCUUCUAAUGAAAUAAAGUUGCUUUUUAUUUUAUGUCUAGGGUAUUAAUGGGGAUCUUUGGUUACAUUUGUACUUCGCCUGUUCAUGAUUGUGUAGGUUAAAAGUCAAUUGAGUGUUACAUAGUUUUGUGGGAGUUGUGUGGGGAAUUUUUAUGUUGCUUGUGUGUUUGGGGGUCUAUUUAGUGGUUUAGUUCUGAAGCCAGUAGGUGUCACAUUCUUAGGGAUGUCAUGGGGUUUUUAAUUUGCUUUUGUUUCGUGGAAGAUAUCGGUUUUAUCCCAUAACUAUGAUUAACAUGUAAAUUAUAUUGGACGUAUGGUUUCCUUGUUGUUAGAGCCUUUUUGCAUACUUGUUUUUGGAGAUGAGAAUAUCUGUUUUUCUCCAUUAGUGCAUCUCUGUUGCCACUCUCUUGUUUAAGGAUAGAAUGACAGAAUUAUGUUAUUAGAGUUCUAUUUUAUGUUACCUUGACUUGGCUUUUUUGGACAUAGAAUAGAUCAAUUUUCCAUCCGCCAAAUUACUCAAAUUAAGUUUGGGUUUCACGCAUUUGGUAACAUUUGAUCUGAGGACUUUAGCCUGUUAUGCAUGUAUGGUUCCCCUCCUUUCUACUUUAUAUUUUGCAUGGUGCAUCGUGCCUUAAUUUUCUAUAGAUAGGUCAAUGUUUUCAUCAAACCUUUUGCCUUAUCUUUCUAUAAAUAGGUCAACGUUUACGUCAAACUUUCCACCUGCUCGAGUAGCCUGUAGCUUGAUUAAAUUGAAAAAUUUUGUGUAGCAGAAAUAUUGAAACUUUAUUGCUGCUUUUAAUCUCUGUUUUAUGUUUGGAAUAGGUUGAUCAUUUUACGAGGUUUGAAGUGGGUUGGAAGUUUCUUGUCAUAUGACUCUAGCCUUGUUGGCUGAGUUGGGAUGUUGCUUUGUAAUAGAAAUCAUUGUGGGAGUCUAUGCAUUUGUGUUAGACAUAGACAUGGCGCCUGGGUCUUGUGUCAAUAUUUUGUUAACAUACUUUAUCCUAUUCUAUUUCAGGGCUUUUGUUGUAAGGGAUCAUAUUUAUUUCUUUCAUUUCAUCUACCCUCAUUAAGUUAUUGAGGCAGGCUUUUGAGAUUGAGUUAGCACUGACUUUAUAUCAAAUCUGAGACUUAUCAAGAAAUGAUCGAAUCAGGUCUCUACAGAAGAAUUAAAUAUCUGAUAAUGGUCGGUGAUAACAUAGUCAUCUUGAGAAUAUUUGCAAAGCAUAUGGUAUUGACUAGAUGGCAUUGGUCAGUAUGUAGCAAGUUUUGAACUCAGUCUCCAGUGUUGUGCUUGGAAGCUUCAGUUACCAAAUUAGUUCAUGUCAAUUAGAUGUUGAGCUGGAGAUAAUUUUAAUUGAAAACAACUUUUUGCUUGUAGGCUUUCUGGAAUACAUGUAGAGGCUCGAGUUUCUAGGUUUUGUUUGCUUAGAGGGAGGGAUGACAAUCUUGUCUGCAGAAUAGGCAGCCUUUUUGUUUGCCCUGCUGCUCUCUAAAAUAUCUUUACUGCUGAGAACCUAACCAAGAGGAGGGAGGAUUGUUGAGAACUACUGCUAUAUUUUUUAGUGAAAUAGUGGAAGUUUGUUGAUCAAUUGUUGUUUUCAUUGUGAGAUUGUUUGAAAGAUUUGGACGCAAUCUUUUCUUUGUUUGGCCUGGGAUGGAGUUUUUGUGUUGUGGAGGUUGUUGGCACUGUUAUCUGUGGUGAUAACACAGAAACGUAGCUUGGAAGACUGCUCCUAUUUGAUUGAGUUAGUGCUUUGGAAUGAAAGGAGUGGCUGACCUUUGAGAGUAUCUUCAAUCGUUAUCAUGACUUGAAUCUGACUUAUUAGAAGUUUAUUUGGCUCUUUGGAAGGCUUCACUAUUUGGUUCUUUGGCAGCGUCCCCUUUCCUUUGGCCACUUGUAUUGUUGAUUUUCUUAGAAUUUCUCUUUCCUUAAGUUUUCCUUUCCUUGUCGCUCUGCACUCACGAUUUUUAGAGGGCACUGAAAUUGAAAAUUAUCUUUACCUGUCCAUGUUAUUUUUUAUCUGCUGUUACUUUCAUUAUGUGACUUAGUCUUGUAAUCUGACAAAUAGGAUUAAAAAAAAUGUGCAGGCUCGAAUUAAAAAGAUAAUGCAAGCUGAUGAGGAUGUUGGGAAGAUAGCAUUGGCUGUCCCUGUUCUAGUUUGUAAGUAGCCGUGGCUGCUUGGCCUUAUUUUCUUGCAACAUCAAUGCUUUUGUGUUAUUUAUUCUCUUUUUGGGUAUUCUUGUAGCAAAAGCUUUGGAAUUAUUUUUCCAAGACCUUUGUGAUCGUACAUAUGAGAUAACCCUUCAGAGAGGAGCAAAGACAAUGAGUUCCUUGCAUUUGUAAGUGUCAAUAACCUUCCUUUGCUCAAUUCUUUUCUUCUUUAGCUGUAAAUGUGAUUAAUAUGUGAACUUGAAGUUGGACUCUGUAUUUCAAGAUGUUCUCGCCAGUAUCAAUUGUUAGGUUCUUGGGGAUUGUUACAUUCCCCUUUGUUUUUUACGAGCAACUUUAGAUUAAUAGAGGGACUAAUUAAAUAUAGACUUCAAUUGUUAUGUAGUUGCCGGGGAAAAAAAAAAAUGUAGUUGCUGAAUAAAUCAUUGAUCGAGGUAUGUGAUCUAAAGCUUUUGCCUUAAUGUUAGGUGUAGCAGAAUAAUAAGUUGUGUAAGGCAAAUUACAGAUUAAUACUUUUGUUUAAUUCUUGAGUUUCAGGUAAAAGGAAAUGUUUAUACAAUUGUCCACAUGGCAAAGAAUCUUCUGUAGAUAAAUUACAUUUAAAAGUACUUGUUUAUCCUUUUUGCUUCUACUUUUAAAUUCCUGAAGAAUUACUUACCUGCUAGACCAUUGAAAUUUGUGAAAAUAUGGUUAAAAAAAAUGGCCUACUAACUGUGAUUGUUUCUCAGAACUAAAUUAUCAUUAAAGGUCAGUUUCUGGUGUGUAUGGUUCCACUAUGCCUUGAUGUCUUGGUCACUUGUAUCAAAGCUGAGUGCAUGAGAAGUAUUCUGAUUCUUGCAUAUGUUUGACUGAGGAGGUAACUGUAGUUGGUGUUUUUUGUUUCACUGGAUGUUAUGUCGUGAAUCAUGAAUUGUUUGAGGUCUUUUUUACACAUAUAAAUGACUUCUUAUUGUGUCGUGCAAUGUAACUUACCCAGAAUUAGAAAAUUGGUAAAGUAGAAAAGAAGAGACUAGAUUUGAUCUUAGCUUUCUCUGACAAACAUUUAUGAGUUUUUCCUUCAUAAGAAUUAUCAAUAUGUUUGAUAAUAGUACCUACCAGCCAAAAGUAUGAUAAGAUAACUGAGUCAAUUUGAUAAUUAACCACAGGAAGUGGUUCUUUAUUUGAGAAAUGUGCAUAUCGAGCUGGUAAUAUAUUUGAGAUUGAUAGCGCAGCAUGUUAAUGUUGUUUGAUGGAAUCAAUAAUAUUCAUGAAGUUAAUCUGUGCAAUGCAAAAAGCUUGAAGUCAGAUGCCUUGGAUAAUGAAUUAAUUAAUGUUUUUUUUUUUUAAGUUAUCUUCCAAGACUCUUUUAUCUGAUUUGAGUUAUUUGUCUCUGGUUUAUGUCUGCUUGUGAUCAACAAUUCUUCAUUUUGCUUCAAUGUUUCAGAGUAUGAUCGAAGCCUGUAUAAUGAGAUUCAAUUAAACUAGGCAUAGUUCUUCAUAGUUAUACCGUAUGAAGAAUCUGUCUAAUAUUAAAUGGCGGGCAGUAGUCAACUUUUCUUAGCAUGCUUUAUCCUUGCUAGGGCAACUUAACAUGGUAUCAAAGCUAAAUUGACUUAAUCUUGUGUUCAGUCUCCUUGUUGAAUUAAUUAAUUUAUGAAAUUGGGGAAUGGUAAAAUUGUGCCAGCCACUUAAAAGAAAGUGAUGGAGAAAUUGUGUAAGACUGGCAGCCUCAAAGCUGUAAGAAUUCAGGAGUAUUUGGGGGCUAUAUAUAUGAAGAGAAAACCUCUUAUUAGUGGAAAGCAGUUUACAAAUAGAGGAUGUGUGUUGAGGCAACAUUAUUAUGGCCCCGCUUGCUACUACGGUGCUGUAGAAAAAAUGCUGCUUUUAAAUACUAAUUUUUACAAAAGCAGCAAAUAUAUUGUAGAUUUUUCAUCAUAUGACUGUAGGAUCAAAUCAACAUAGCUUCCAAGUCAUAGCAGCCACUGUUUACCAAACAAUUAAGAUUUUAAAAGAGUGUUUUAAGUGAAAACUUAUAUUUUUAUAUUAUCAAUUGAGCGUGCAAAGCAAAUAAGUGUUCAAAGUAGAUUUUGAGUACAAAUAAUCCACCCAUAAAAAUAUCAUGCGCCACAAGAUGAGUGACAUUGCUCACUACAAAUUAAAAAAAAAAUCAUAUAUUCAUGAGAAAUAUUAAUAUAGGCAUACCAAAUAGUCUCUCGAAACUACUAUAAGAUUUUCUUAGUUCGUUCGAAUUCUUUCUUAAUCAUUUGGAGAAAUAAGAGAGGCUGUUUAUUUAUUUGAUUUGAUUUAAUUAAUUAUUUUGAUAGAAAUUAUAUUAAAUUAUAUAGAGACAGUAAUGGGUUUUCCUUGCUUGUAAUGGUUGAUAGGCUAACAGCAAGAAAAGCUUACACAAUUUAAAUUGCAAAAUAAGUGCGCUUCUAUAAUUUGUUUACUAUUUUAUGAACAAAAGAAGAAAAAGAAAAAAUUCCAAAGUUAAAAUCUUCUAUACGCCGAAGGAAAGAGAAAUGACAAAUUGUACGAAUUACAGAGCUUUUGAAGUGGAGUCCACCUACUGUGUGACCCAAAAGAGCCGUAUCUGGAUUUCAUAAACAAAAGUACUUUUAAAGUUACAAAUUACUGACGAGAAUGAGACCCUAAAACUGAGAACAUAGAAGAGAGAGUACUUUCAAGUCUCAAUUAAAAUGUAGAGAAAAAGAAAAAAAAAUUGUGCUUGUAAUAGAGCUAUCUCUCAAGCCAACAUUUCUAGCUAGCAAAGGAUGGAAGGAAUGAUUUUAGAUAAUAUAUUUUCAAUAAAUGAAAAAAAUUUUUCCAGUUUGAUGAUUGCAAAUAACAUUCUUUACUUCCACUCUUUAUUAUUAUUAUUAUUUUUAAAAAAUUUUAACUCUUUAAUUCAUGUUCUUGUUCUCGCGAAUGUGUUUAGUCAAUUUCGUGAUCAUCUCAUCAAAUCCCUAACGUUAACAUAAUCAUAAUCUAUUAAUGAAAUUUAUUUAUUUUCUAUAAUAAUAAUCAAAAUGAAUAUUUGUUCAUGUAAUUUUAUGACGAUGAGUUAUCAUUUUUUCUUUUAUACAUAAAAACAAUUUGUAAAUAAUGGCCACGUUGAACUAAUAACGCAACAACGCUUGUGGGAACAAAUUAAAUAAUAAAAAAUUUAAAGCAGCGAUUUGGCAAUACAAAAUUGAAGAACAGAAAAAUUAAAAAUGAAAAGGUAAGUAACCCUAAACUGUCUGUGGUGGCCCACCAACAAAGCUCUAAAGAGCUAUCACUUUAUCUUGACUUAUUAAUUAUUUACUAAUGGGUUCAUUUUUGUUGCACGCCCUCUUGAUGGAGUCAAAAUUUUACCUCGUCAUGCUCUCAAGUCUUGAGAUUAAACAGGGGUGAGUCUAUCCUCCCUCUCCACUUUGCACCUACCUACCUGAACUCUUCGACGGAUCAGCACUCUUUCCUGGAAUGGGUUCUGAGAAAUAACAGAUCUCAGCAGCUUUGACNNNNNNNNNNNNNNNNNNNNNNNNNNNNNNNNNNNNNNNNNNNNNNNNNNNNNNNNNNNNNNNNNNNNNNNNNNNNNNNNNNNNNNNNNNNNNNNNNNNNNNNNNNNNNNNNNNNNNNNNNNNNNNNNNNNNNNNNNNNNNNNNNNNNNNNNNNNNNNNNNNNNNNNNNNNNNNNNNNNNNNNNNNNNNNNNNNNNNNNNNNNNNNNNNNNNNNNNNNNNNNNNNNNNNNNNNNNNNNNNNNNNNNNNNNNNNNNNNNNNNNNNNNNNNNNNNNNNNNNNNNNNNNNNNNNNNNNNNNNNNNNNNNNNNNNNNNNNNNNNNNNNNNNNNNNNNNNNNNNNNNNNNNNNNNNNNNNNNNNNNNNNNNNNNNNNNNNNNNNNNNNNNNNNNNNNNNNNNNNNNNNNNNNNNNNNNNNNNNNNNNNNNNNUAAAGAAUGUUAUAUACAAUCAUCAAACUGGAAAAAAAAAAGUUUUCAUUUGUUGGAAAUAUAUUAUCUAAAAUCCUUCCUUCCAUCCUUUGCUAGCUAGAAAUGUUGGCUUGAGAGAUGAGCUCUAUUACAAGCACAAUUUUUUCUUUUUCUUUUUCUCUACAUUUUAAUUGAGACUUGAAAGUACUCUCUUCUAUGUUCUCAGUUUUAGGGUCCCAUUCUCGUUAGUAAUUUGUAACUUUAAAAGCGAUUUUGUUUAUGAAAUCCAGAUACGGCUCUUUGGGUCACAUAGUAGGUAGACUCCACUUCAAAAGCUCUGUAGUUCGUACAAUUUGUCAUUUCUCUUUCCUUUAGGGCAUAGAAGAUUUUAACUUUGGAAUUUUUCCUUUUUGUUCAUAAAAUAGUAAACAAAUUAUAGAAGCGCACUUAUUUUGCGAUUUAAUUGUGUAAGCUUUUCUUGCUGUUAGCCUGUCAACCAUUACAAGCAAGGAAAACCCAUUACUGUCUCUAUAUAAUUUAAUAUAAUUUCUAUCAAAAUAAUUAAUUAAAUCAAAUCAAAUAAAUAAAAGCCUCUCCUAUUUCUCCAAAUGAUUAAGAAAGAAUUCGAAUGAACUAAGAAAAUCUUAUAGUAGUUUCGAGAGACUAUUUGGUAUGCCUAUAUUAAUAUUUCUCAUGAGCAUAUGAUUUACUUUUUUUUAAUUUGUAGUGAGCAAUGCCACUCAUCUUGUGGUGCAUGAUAUUUUUAUGGGUGGAUUAUUUGUACUCUAAAAAUCUACUUUAAACACUUAUUUGCUUUGCACACUCAAUUGAUAAUAUAAAAAUAUAAGUUUUCACUUAACACACUCUUUCAAAUUCCUAUAUUGUUCCCAUUCACUACUAAAAAGCAUUGAUUUAUGACAGAUUUUUUAUGAUGGAUAUCGUUGUGUCACGAAUCCAUCGUAGAAGCAUAACAUUUUUGUGACAUAUAAAAUAUAUAUCAAGAAUUUAUGACAUAUUUGUGACUUAUAGCUUAAUGACAUAAGUCGAUGAUAGAUAAGAGUCAUGCUUGAAUUUGCUAUUAUUAACAAAUUAAAACGACACAUUUAAAUUCAUGAUAGAUAUCGUCGUUUGAUGAGCAUGGUAGAUAUCUAUCAUGAAUUGAAAUGGUGCAAUUUUUAUAAGCUAGUUAUUUUAGUUUUUAAAGUCUAAGGGCUUGUUUGGGUUAGCUUUUGCUUUUACUUCUACUUAAAAGUAAAAGAUAAGUAAAAGCAUCGUUGUCUUUGCUUUUUCAACCUUGGGUAAGAAACAGGAAACAAGGGCUCAUUCAAAAUUACUCACCCAUCAAUCACUUAAUUAAAAUAGACCAAUUGGCCACUAACCAUUUUCUUGUUCACUACAUUUUGUAAGAAAUAAACAAUUCAAUUUGUUUAAUUUAACAUAGAAUGGCACCCACCAUGCAGUCAUGAGGUUCUGUUUUAUAUAUAAUGAACCGUCUCUAAUCAGUACGAGGUUUGUAAAAAUUUAUCAGGAUGCUAUUUGGUCCUUGAGUCAAAAGAGCUAGUCAUCAUCAGAACUAGAUUCUAGAAUUUUUGGGGUCAAGUUCAUACUUAUCUGAUUGGCACAUUUCUUAUCAGAAAAAAGGAUGUGAGAGUAAUAAAGAUAAUGAUAAUGGCAGAGUAAUAAUAAUAAAAUGUUAUGCAUAAUCAUAUUUAUCUAAAUGACAAGUGAAACUGAAUAUGAUAGGUAAGAUCCCCUGGCCAAUAAUGAACCAAGGUUAUAUUUUUUAUGUUUUAUGUCAUUAGUCUCUCAUGCUUCUUGUAUGUAUAACAUUCAGCUCUUUUGGGGAGAGAAGUGAUAUAGAUGCACUAUUAAUGUAGGAAACUAUUAUAGUAAAAAUAUUGUAGUUUAAUUAAAUUUUUUAUGUAAUUUUAUCUAGCAAUAUAACUAUGACUAUAGAAAGCAAAAAGUUCAUAAACAUUUUAAAUAAUAUGCUUGAAAAAUCAAAUAUUUAUAAUAGUACCUCUCAAAAUACCAUGCAAGAGUACCAGUAACAAUAGUGGUAAACAUGAAUGAGUGAGCCACAGGUAUGACCAAAUGCAUCCUGUUGCUGCCCCAGCUACUUAAGUAUGUCUGCACUAAUUGCAGAAAGUAAACUUUUUAUCUAUCCAAAAUCUUUUUGUCAUAAUGAUAGUAUACUUUUUGCGAUUGGCACGGACAUACUUGAGCAGCUGAUGGGCAACAGCAGGAUGCAUUUAGCCAUACCGAUGGCUCACCCUUUCACAAUCGCCACCGCUGUUAUUAGUACUUUUGCAUGGCAUUCCAAGAGGUAAUAUUAUAGACUAUUUGGUGUUUCAAGCAUAAUGUUUUUAACACCAUUUAAAACGUUUAUAAAGCUUUUGCUUUUUGUAGUCAUGGUUAUAUUGCUAGAUUAAAUUACACAAAGAAUUUAAUUAGAUUAUAAUAUUUUUACUAUAAUGGAUUCCUACAUUAAUAGUGUAUCUAUAUCACUUCUCUCCUCAAAGGAGCUAUGAUAAUAUCAACAUAAUUGAAUAUUAUACAUAUAAGAAGCAUGAGAGACUACUAGUAUAUGAAACAUCAAAAAUAUAUCCUUGGUUCGUUGUUGGCCAAGAGGUCUUAUCUAUUAUAUUUAGUUUCAUUUGUCAUUUAGAUAAAUAUAAUUAUGCAUAACAUUUUAUUGUUAUGCAAUGUAUUUGUAAUUUCUUGUAAGUAACGGGACUUAUUUUGUUAUUAUGUUGGCAGACUCAUUUAAAUCACCAAUUUCCACUUCUGUUGACUAAUACAACUAUUAUCGGUUUCUUUGCAGCAAUUCGUGUUUGUUUGCAAUUUAUGAGCAAAAAGAUUUGGGCAACUGGAUAUUGAGCUUCAACAUUAGAUUGUUAGCAGUUAUCAUGUCGGUAAGUCUUUUAUAAUCAUAUACUCAGCUAAUAUAAAAAAAAAAAUUUAUCGUAAUGUGAGAUAUUAUAUAUAUAUAUAUAUACCUAGGUAUUUUGGCUUCUAGUUUGAACACUGUGUAUGCAUGUUGGUGACGAGAACUCUUAUUUUGUAGCAAUAUUUAGCCUCUUCAGCAAGUUUUUUAAAUUGUCGUAGCUAUUUAUUUCGUAUCUAAAUAGGUAACAAUUUCUUUUUUCUUUUUUUUUUCCUUUUCCUUCUGCAAGGAACAUCUAAUAUUUGAAUUUAUCUUCAUUUUUCAUGGCUAGAAAUUUUGAGUUUCAGCCUAGUAGUUGGAUUGGUAAUUUUUGGCGUGAUGUUUGUCUUUCUAUGGGCAGAUGAAAAGGGAACCAAAAAAAAAAAAAAAAGACAAGAACAAGUAGUUGAAUAUAUAGAGCUAGCUAGAGAUAAAAUUGAACCAGCAAGAGAAGCUAUUGGAGAGAUGACAGAGAUAUUAUAAUUUUCUUAUUUUAUUUUAAUCGUAUUGGAAUUUGCUAUGAGGAUACUUUAUCUUUGAUUCUUAGUAUUCAAAAAAUUCAAUAUAUUUAUUGUUGUUAUAUAUUAUAAACUUUUCUAUUCUAAUUGAUAUAGUUUAAUUGAUUUAUUUGACAUUUGCAGCUUUAGUAUCCUUGAAAUUGCAUUUGAGUAUUGAGAGACUUGAGUUGGAAGAUGAAAAUUGGUGUGUAAUGUGAUUUUUUUAUAUCUACUCGAAUUAGAAACUUAAAAGUUUGGGCCAAUUUGAGAAGAAGGCUUGUUUAUGCUAAUUCAUCACAGCUUCUCCAGUAACCGACAACAAAACUAACAAGGGGAAAAUCAAAUCUUAUAGCUAUAAGAUUGCUGAUUUAAUUUGAAUAAGUUUUUAAGUGUCCUUAGUAGCUUGUUAUUGCUAAACAAUAUCACAAGAAAAUGAUUGCAUGUAAACUAUAGGGUUAUCUAAUUUCUAUGUACUGUAAUUAGUAACCAAAAUAAUUUUUCCGUCUAAAUUAUUACUACCAGAGACUUACAGACGUCGUCAACUUAGUUCACUUUUUAUUUUUCUAUUUUCAGUUUGUUUGAUAUGGUGAAAGUUGUUUAUAAAUAGAGUAAUGAUAUAGCUACAAAUUCUUGUACAAACUUAUUUUGUACAAACUGAUGUAGCAUGAUAAAAUUGGUUGAAUUAAAUAUUUUUUGGCUCACAUGAUUUAUUUAUAUUAUUUCAUGAUUUAUUUAUAUUAUUUUAUAUUUUCAUUCAAUUAAUGAAUUAAUAACACGUUAGUUUGUACAAGAUAAAUUUGUACAAAAUAAAUUUGUACAAGAAUUUAUGGAUAUAUCAUCACUCUUAUAAAUAUUAACUUACUAAGCAAGGAACAAUUGGAAAACUAAAAAAAUUUACACUUACGGUUUUGUAUGACAUGAGGUUAAAGUUGUAUAAAAUAUCAUCAUUUCUUCCAUUGAGCCUUGUGUUUGAAAAUUGUGUUACUUUCCGGUGUAUCUGAGCUUGACUGUGCGUGAUAAUUGUUUUUUUUUUAAAUGUUUGCUCUAGUAAAUAUAUGAGAGUUAAUUGUGGCUAUGAUGAGACAAUAAGGACAUCGCUUGGGUCUACUGCAACUUUAUAAGUUGUCUUUAGAAUUUAGCUGUUUGUAAUCUAUGAACAAAAAGAUUGGAACAACUGGAUAUUGGGCUUCAAUAUUUUAUAUAUAUAUAUAGGAUCGAAGGAUGGAUGCGAAUUAAGAAGAUCUGCAAUUUUAAACUCUAAAUAAUACAAUUGAACAAUAUGGUUGUUCUUUGAUACGCGGUUGAUUGCUUUUAAUUAUAAUUAAAUUGGUACGUGGCUUGUUAACCAUCAGUGCGGACCAGACUAGUGCCCAUUCGGGUUCACCUCUGGAACUUACGUCGAUGGAUUCCCGCCGAUAUACUCUUUUAAUUAAUGCUUUACCAAAUAUGGAUUAGAUAUUUAAACAAGCCUAGCAACAGAUCUAAAGGCUCAUAUAUAGUACUAGAUCUGGUUCCCAGAAAUAGCACUCUGAUUGGAUGGAGGGAGAAAAAAAGAUACAACUGAGGAUUGAGAUCUGGUCUAGUUGCCUCAGAGGAAUGUAACAAUUUAUAUGGCAGAUCUGAUACAGAUCAGUCUACAAAGCAUGCAUAAAAUUUAAAUUACUGAAAUUUAAAUGCUUUAAAAUAAAUUAUGAAAAUUAAAAUGCUUUAAAUUAAAUUACAGAAAUUUAAACAUACAGAACUUUAAACUUAUUAUAAACUUUAAAAGGAACUACAAAUCUUAUAUUUGAUUUUGCUUUAUUUUGUUCUUCUUUAAAGAACAGUAUAGAAGAAAUGGGAAAUUAAUCUGAAGACAGGAAAAAUUCCUUGUUGUCUUCCGAUUCCUGAUUCCCAGAGAGAGAGAGAAAGAGAAAAGAAGAGAAGGAGAGGAAAGAGAGAGAGAGGAAUUGGAAAAUUCUGAGGAGUCUAAGUUUUCCUCCAGAAUUAUAUACAAAAUUUUUAAUCUUUAACUGCAGCGAGUCUGUACCUUCUCCACUGUAGCGAAACUGUAGCUUGGAACAGUAGUCUUUGUUACGAAAAUGAACAUUCUUUUAAAAAUACAAGUAUAACUCGGGUGAAAAGACAUGUGCGCUCUCACUUGUGUCCAGGGGACCACCCGAAUGUACAAACAUACAUAUAUAUAAGAAAGGAAAAUACCUAAAAUACAAAUGUAAAAAUAAUUACAAUGGGAGUGCGGAAAAAUGAAAAUUUACUCUUUUUUUUUUCAAAUGAUAAUUAUUUACAAUGCUUUAUCGGAGAGAAAAUUUCAAAACAGUCGUCUUCAUUUUCAUGUCCAAGAGAAAUAAAUGGCUCUUCAUUGCCUUCAUCAUCAUCAGAGGAGUCGGCAACUGAAGAUUUGAAUCUUGAUGUGAGGAGCUGCUCCAUAACUUUAAAAUAUUCUUCUUCAGUUUUGGCGCUGGGCAAAAGAGAUUGGGCUUUGGAUUUUUGGGUAAGAAAUAUUUCUUGGGCUUUAACAUCUUUGAUGGUGGGGGGUAAGAAGCCUUUAGAACAGAGCCAAUUUUGGAUCAGAGUGUUAGUUAAUUUGGUCUGUUCGUCAAACUUUGACCACCAUUUUACUUUAAAGGCUCUUUGUAAAAUGAGUUGGGCUUCUUGGGUAUGAUAUCUGAAAUUCCACAUCCAUACCCAUGGGAGGAAUAAAUUUGUACAGAAACAGAGAAAUGGGGGAAACCUUUUCUCGGAUUCAGAAGGGAUAUAAUGGGUUUUAAAGAGGUUUAAACAAUGGGUGGCAUUUGGAGUUAAAAUCUGAGGAAUUGGGCCAAAAGAGUUCCACCAUUGUUGAAACCAAUUAGGGAGGCUUUGAACGGUUAUUUUUGAAUUGAAGAAAAAUAACCAGGAAUGAGAUUUCUUUGGGUUUUGUAUGAAAAAUGUGUUAAAUCAUGUUUGUUGGUAAUUCCAAUAGGAAUAAGACAAACAAUGUGGUAAACGCAUUUGAAAAUUUGGAGGGAAGCUUUUUUGUUUGUGGAGUUAGUCCCCCCACUGGUUUGGGCUCAAGACUUUCAGAAUAGUAGCCGUGGAGUAGGCUGGAUCUGAAUGAGUUUCACUGAGAAAGAAAUGCUUGAAUUUUACAAACUCAGUAGCUUCUAAAAUGCUUUGAUAAUAAGACUGGGGUUUUGUCAAAUCCCAAAAUUUGAAAAACCAGCCUUUAGGGAAAAACUUUGAAAUAGCUUGAAAAGGACUAGUAUGGUAAAAACCAUCCUACAUAGAUAAAAUAUUUUGGAAAUGAGUUUUAUCAAACCAAUCGGAAGUUUUCUUUAAAAGUUUUGGCUGGGAAAGAACAAUUUGAGAAGAUGAACUUUCACCAGAAAUAACCACAUUUUGAGAAGAGGGUUUUGAAAUCUCUUUAGGAAUAUUUUCUUGAGGAGAAAUUUAGCUUUGAGAAAAACUUUGUAGAGCGAGCAUAAGCUCAGGGGAUUUAGAAAUGGAUUUCCUCCAUUCAUUUAUCUGCUCGUGAGAGGCAAGUGCUUUAGACUGGGCUUCUUGAUCUUCUAUUAUGUCGAUCCAAGACUUGAUUGGCAUGGCAGAAGAAAGUAAUUUUUCUUUAGGUGGAGAGGUUUGGGAAGCUUUAGAAGGUGUUUGGGACACAUGGUCUUUAAGAAUCCCUUUCUCAUUGUCUUUCUUUUUAGGCGGCAUUUAUCUGUUUUGGAGAAAUUCUCUAGUUAGAAAAUCAGGGAUAGAAUUUGUAUCUCCUUUAAUAAAUUCAAUAUCAAUAUAAAAAACACUUAAAAUAGCUUGCCAUCGUGCAAAAAUUUAUUUUGAUGCAAUAUUUUGAACAUCUUUUUCUAAAACAUGUUUUGCAGCUUUGCAGCUUUGCAAUCAAUUCUAAGUAAAAAUUUUUGAUUUAGUAAAUCACUUUGGAAUUUGAAAAUGAGCAAAACAAUAGAAAGAAUUUCCUUUUUGAUAGUAGAAUAAUUUUUCUGGCAUUCAUUCCAGUGGGCAGAAAUGCAUUGUACUAUUUGUUCUAUUUCAUCUUCCUUUUGUUUUAAUAUGCCUCCAUAACCUAAAUCUGAUGCAUAUGUUUCAACAAUUUUAGGUAAUGUAGGAUUUGCAAGAAAUAAACAUGGAAUGUUUUUAACAUAAUUUUUUAUUAGUCUAACAGUUUUAGUAUGUUCAUCUGUCCAAGCAACGGGAUUCUUUCUUAGCCUAUCAUGCAGUGGUUUAGACAUCCUAUUGAUGUUGGGACAAAAAUCAAGAACAUAAUUUAAACUACCUAGAAACCUUUGUAGUUGUGUUUUAUCAAGAAUUUUAUCAGGAAAUUUAUCAGUAAAUAAAAGGGAUCGCUCAAUAGGCGUAAUAGUUCCUUUAGAAAUAUAGUGAUCAAGGAAUCUGACUUUUGUUUGAAACAAUGAGACUUUAGAACUAGAAAUGGCUAAGCCAGCCUUUCUAGUGGCAAGGUAAAAGGUUUUUAAAUGUUUGGAAUGUUGAUCAAUUGUUUGAGAAAAAAUCAACACAUCGUCUAAUACAUCUGUUUUAAUAUGCCUCCAUAACCUAAAUCUGAUGCAUCUGUUUCAAUAAUUUUAGGUAAUGCAGGAUUUGCAAGAAAUAAACAUGGAAUGUUUUUAACAUAAUUUUUUAUUAGUCUAACAGCUUUAGUAUGUUCAUCUGUCCAAGCAACGAGAUUCUUUCUUAGCCUAUCAUGCAGUGGUUUAGACAUCCUAUUGAUGUUGGGACAGAAAUCAAGAACAUAAUUUAAACUACCUAGAAACCUUUGUAGUUGUGUUUUAUCAAGAAUUUUAUCAGGAAAUUUAUCAGCAAAUAAAAGCGAUCGCUCAAUAGGCGUAAUAGUUCCUUUAGAAAUAUAGUGACCAAGGAAUCUGAUUUUUGUUUGAAACAAUGAGACUUUAGAACUAGAAAUGGCUAAGCCAGCCUUUCUAGUGGCAAGGUAAAAGGUUUUUAAAUGUUUGAAAUGUUGAUCAAUUGUUUGAGAAAAAAUCAACACAUCGUCUAUAUAAACUAUGCAAAACUCAGAAAAAGGAUUAUAAAUAUCAUUCAUAAUUCUUUGAAAUUCUGAGGGUGCAUUCUUUAGUCUAAAUAGCAUUACAGUCCAUUCAUACUGUUCAAAAGGAACAGUAAAGGCGGUUUUAUAACGGUCUUUAGGGUGAAUUUGAAUUUGCCAAAAAUCAGAUUUCAUGUCAAAUUUUGAAAAAAUAAAAGUAGAACACAAUUUCUGGAGCAAAUCUUUUUUAUUAGGUAUAGGAUACCUAAUCCAUUUUAAUGAUUUAUUUAAAGGUUUGUAAUUUAUUACAAGUCUUGGUGUUCCUCUUUCUAUUUCUGAGUUUUUAUUUACAUAGAAGGCGGCACAAGACCAAGGAGAUCUAGAUUUUAUAAUGAGUCAUUUACUCUCUAAGUCUUUUAUCUCAUUUGUACAGUGUUGUUCCAAUUCCAUGUUCAUUUGGAUUGGACGAGCUUUAGUGGGAAUUUGUUUUUCAUCAAAAGAAUUUUCAUAGGGCAAAUCUACCAAAUGUUGUUUUCUGUUUCAAAAAGGAGAUGGUAAAUCAGCACAUAUUUCUUUUUCAAUGAGAUCUUUAAAAUCAUAGAUUUUUCUUUGUAUGAUGUCAUUUUGUAAUUGACUUUCAAUUCUUUGUAAAUUUAAAUUAUUUUUUAAACAAAACAAGCUUUAACAAUAUUUAAGUUUCUCGUUUUUGGUUUCUCAAUAAAAGGGAAAACAAGUUUUUGAUUUUUUGCUUUAAAAGAUAUACUAUCAUAAUUAACAGUAUACGGGGUAAUGAGGUUUAUAAAAGGGGUUCCUAAAAUGACAGUAUGGUGUAUGUCAUUUGUGAGAAGAAAAGAUGUCCUAAAUUCAAAACCGUUGUUAUGAAUAGAGGCGUCAACUUUAGAUUUGAUUUUUAACUUUGAAUUAUUAGCGGCUGACAAUCUUUCUUUUGUUUUUUCAACAUGAACAAAGACAGGAAGAGAAUGAACAUUCUCCUCCAACAUCUCCUACGUUUUCUGCUGUUACAGAAAAUGUAAUUAAUGUCAUCGAAAAAGACUUUAAAUUGAAUAAAACUCUUCUCCAUAAUGAUUUUUUUUCAGAUAAUAAUAAAGAGAAAAGACUUUGAUUUUUUAGACAUUUUCUAAAUCAAAGAAAAGAAAUCCAAGAGACAUAUUAUGAAUUUAUAAAUUCACAUAAAAUUCAUAUAUUGUUUUUUUAUUGGUUUAAGAUAUAUUCUUCAAAUAACAACAUUUCUUAUCAUUUUAAAGAGUCGAACCUUAUUACUGUUAGGAAGAAAAUUCCUGAGUGGAAACUUUCUGAUAGUAAGAAAACCAUAGAAUCUGAACAUCCACCUCUUAGGAGUUUAACUAUUGAUCACGGUGAACCUCCUGUUCAAAUUAGAGCCUCACCUUACAAAAUCCCUAAACUAAAUGAUUCUGAUGCAAAUUUAAAUGGUAUUAUUCAACAGAAUAAUUUCUGUAAUAUUAACUUAAAUACAAUAGGAAAACAGUUGACUAGGAUAGAAAGCCAAUUCCGAAGGUCAACCAUAGCUGUUUCUCCUAUUAGCACAAAAUCAGAUUCUGACAAAAAGCUUAAGGAACCUAUUUUCAAACCUUUUCAGGUUUCAAAAACUAGCCAAAAGCUUGUUCAAGAGUCAAAAUCAGAUUUUGCUAAAGCCAUUAGAGACCAAUUAGAUAGAAUAGAAGCUUCUUCUUCUUCUUCUAAGGUCCAAAUAGCCCCUGAUAGUGCCCAAUCUAGCAAGAUUGGUGUACUAGAACAUGACAAUGUUUCUAUAGCCUCUUCAGAUAUAGAAGCAUUUAAAGAAGAACCAUAUGCUCCUAAUGUCAACAAAAUUCAUUGGGAAUUAGCCUUACCUACUGUCAAGACUCCACCAGAUCUAGCUAUAGAUAAUAGACCGAGUACUUUAAAUCAAUCGCGAUUUAAUGCAUAUUCUGUCUAUGAGUGGAAUAUUGAUGGCAUGUCUGAAUACAACAUCUUAGGAUUGUUGCAACAGAUGACCAUGGCAGCUAAUGCCUAUAAAACACAGGCGGGAGCUUCUGAUAGAGCCAUAACAGAAAUUCUCGUUGCUGGUUUUACUGGUCAACUUAAAGGAUAGUGGGAUCAUCUUCUCACUAAACAGCAACAAUUAGAUAUCCUAAAUUCUAUUCAAGUCGAUGAGAAUGGAGCCCCCAUUCUUGAUGAGUUCAAUAGUCCAAUUCAGGUUGCUGUUGCUACCCUGAUUUUGACUAUAUCCCUUCAUUUCAUAGGUGACCCUUCGCACCUUAGAGAUAAAAAUGCCAAGUUACUACACAAUCUGAGGUGUAGGAAACUUAGUGAAUUCCAAAACUAUAAAACCACUUUCUUUACCAGACUCUUCCUUAGGGAUGAUGCAAAUCACAUAACCUGGAAAGAGAAAUUCAUUGCAGGUUUAACUACCCUUUUAGGAGAGAAAGUUAGGAAUUCCAUUAAAGCCCUGUAUGACAACCGUAUUCCUUAUGACGAGCUUACCUAUGGUGAACUUGUCAGUUUUGUUAAUAAAGAAGGUUUAAAGAUUUGUCAAAAUUUGAAAUUACAGAAACGACUUAAAUGGGAGCUUAGGAAAUCUAAGCAAGAAUUAGGCAGUUUCUGUAAACAAUUCAACUAUGACCCCUUUAAAACUUCCACUUCUAAAGAUUGUAAUGGUAAGUGUUCUUCAAAACCUUACAAAAAACAUUACAAAUCCAAAAGCCAUAGGAAACCCUUUCAAGAUUUAGAGGACUCUCUUAUAAGAAACCUUCGAGGCCUUAUAAGAAGCCCAACUUCUCUAAAAAGAAAGAGUUUAAAGCCAAGCUAAAAACCCCUUUUAACUACAAAGAAGCCACAUGUUAUAAAUGUGGAAAGAGAGGCCACACUGCAAAGUUUUGCAGAAUGAACAGAAAGCUCCAUGAGCUUGGCCUUGAUGAAGAAAUUCUUUCUAAAGUUGUCAAUUUACUUGUAGAGUCUUCUGACUCUGAGUCUUUCAUGACGGGAGAUAGUGUACCUUUACAGGUUGAUGAGUUAAAUGAUUCUGAAUGUGUUUCUUCUAGUGAUUCCGACACUAGUGAUUCAGAUUCUUAUUUAAAGAAAAUCAAUGUUUUGACCAAAGACCAAGAAAUCUUUCUUGAGCUUGUUAAACAUAUCUCUGAUUCGAAUCUUCAAAAAGAAUACCUUGAUAAACUUUUAAAAACCCUGGAUUCUAAAGUUCAAACAGAAACUUCUAAAGUUCAAAUUGUCAAGAAGAAUUCUUAUGAUCUCACUGAAAUUUUGGGUACAAAGAAAACAAAGAAAACAACCCCUAAUAUCCAAGAUCUUCAGAAAGAAAUCAAAUAUAUUAAACUUGAGAUUAAAGAAUUAAAAGAAAAACCAAAGAAUGAUUCUGAAACUAUUCAACUUCUCUUACAAAAACAACUAGUUCAAUUAGAAGAUAAUUCUGAUAAAUAAGUUGAAUUCGAUGGUGACAAUGAACAAAACCUUGAAAACAUUGAAUCUGUACCCAAUGAUUUUCUGUUUAUUUUAAAACAAAUCACCACCAGAAAAUAUUUGAUCAAAAUCACUUUAAUUUUUUCUAAAGAUUUUAAAAUUGACACCAUCACCCUCUUUGACACUGGUGCCGAUUUAAAUUGCAUCAAAGAAGAUAUUGUCCCUAUAAAAUUCCAUGAAAAAACAAAAGAAAGAUUGUCAGCCGCCAAUAAUUCAAAGCUAAAAAUCAAAUCUAAAGCUGACGCCUCUAUUCAUAACAAUGGUUUUGAAUUUAUGACAUCUUUUUUUCUUCUUACAAAUGACAUACACCAUACUUUCAUUUUAGAAACCCCUUUUAUAAACCUCAUUACCCCGUAUACUGUCAAUUAUGAUAGUAUAUCUUUUAAAGCAAAAAAUCAAAAACUUGCUUUCCCUUUUAUUGAGAAACCAAAAACGAGAAACUUAAAUAUUGUUAAAGCUUGUUCUGUUUACCAGAACCAAAUCAAUGUCAUACUUAAAUCUAAACAAAAUAACUUGUUUUGUUUAAAAAAGGAUUUAAAUUUACAAAGAAUUGAAAGUCAAUUACAAAAUGACUUCAUACAAAGAAAAAUCUCUGAUUUUAAAGAUCUCAUUGAAAAAGAAAUAUGUGCUGAUUUACCAUAUGCUUUUUAGAACAGAAAACAACAUUUGGUAGAUUUGCCCUAUGAAAAUUCUUUUGAUGAAAAAUAAAUUCCCACUAAAGCUCAUCCAAUCUAAAUGAACAUGGAAUUGGAACAACACUGUAAAAAUGAGAUAAAAGACUUAGAGAGUAAAAGACUCAUUCUAAAAUCUAGAUCUCCCUGGUCUUGUGCCGCCUUCUAUGUAAAUAAAAACUCAGAAAUAGAAAGAGGAACACCAAGACUUGUAAUAAAUUACAAACCUUUAAAUAAUCAUUAAAAUGGAUUAGGUAUCCUAUACCUAAUAAAAAAGAUUUGCUCCAGAAAUUGUGUUCUGCUUUUAUUUUUUCAAAAUUUGACAUGAAAUCUGAUUUUUGGCAAAUUCAAAUUCACCCUAAAGACCGUUAUAAAACCGCAUUUACUGUUCCUUUUGGACAGUAUGAAUGGACUGUAAUGACAUUUGGACUAAAGAAUGCACCCUUAGAAUUUCAAAGAAUCAUGAAUGAUAUUUAUAAUCUUUUUUUGAGUUUUGCAUAGUUUAUAUAGACGAUGUGUUGAUUUUUUCUCAAACAAUUGAUCAACAUUUCAAACAUUUAAAAACCUUUUACCUUGGCACUAGAAAGGCUGGCCUAGCCAUUUCUAGUUCUAAAGUCUCAUUGUUUCAAACAAAAGUCAGAUUCUUUGGUCACUAUAUUUCUAAAGGAACUAUUACGCCUAUUGAGCGAUCGCUUUUAUUUGUUGAUAAAUUUCCUGAUAAAAUUCUUGAUAAAACACAACUACAAAGGUUUUUAGGUAGUUUAAAUUAUGUUCUUGAUUUCUAUCCCAACAUCAAUAGGAUGUCUAAACCACUGCAUGAUAGGCUAAGAAAGAAUUCCGUUGCUUGGACAGAUGAACAUACUAAAGCUGUUAGACUAAUAAAAAAUUCUGUUAAAAACAUUCCAUGUUUAUUUCUUGCAAAUCCUGCAUUACCUAAAAUUGUUGAAAUAGAUGCAUCAAAUUUAGAUUAUGGAGGCAUAUUAAAACAAAAGGAAGAUGAUAAAGAACAAAUAGUACAAUGCGUUUCUGCCCACUGGAAUGAAUGCCAGAAAAAUUAUUCUACUAUCAAAAAAGAAAUUCUUUCUAUUGUUUUGUGCAUUUCCAAAUUCCAAAGUGAUUUACUAAAUCAAAAAUUUUUACUUAGAAUUGAUUGCAAAGUUGCAAAACAUGUUUUAGAAAAAAAUGUUCAAAACAUUCCAUCAAAACAAAUUUUUGCACGAUGGCAAGCUAUUUUAAGUGCUUUUUAUUUUGAUAUUGAAUUUAUUAAAGGAGAUACAAAUUCUAUCCUUGAUUUUCUAACUAGGGAAUUUCUCCAAAAUAGAUAAAUGCCGCCCAAAAAUAAAGACAAGGGGAAAGGGAUUCUUAAAGACCUUGUGUCCCAAACACCUUCUAAAGCUUCUCAAACCUCUCCACCUAAAGAAAAAUUGCUUUCUUCUGCCAUGCCAAUCAAGUCUUGGAUCGACAUGAUAGAGGAUCAAGAAGCCCAGUCUAAAGCGCUUGCCUCUCAUGAGCAGGUAAAUGAAUAGAUGAAAUCCAUUUCUAAAUCCCCUGAGCUUAUGCUCGCUCUACAAAGUUUUUCUCAAAGCCAAAUUUCUCCUCAAUAAAAUAUUCCUAAAGAGAUUUCAAAACCCUCUUCUCAAAAUGUGGUUGUUUCUGGUGAAAGUUCAUCUUCUCAAAUUAUUCUUUCCCAGCCAAAACUUUCAAAGAAAACUUCUGAUUGGUUUGAUAAAACCCAUUUCCAAAAUAUUUUAUCUAUGGAGGAUGGUUUUUACCAUACCGAUCCUUUUCAAGCUAUUUCAAAGUUUUUCCCUAAAGGCUGAUUUUUCAAACACUGGGAUUUGACGAAACCCCAGUCUUAUUAUCAAAGCAUUUUAGAACCCACUAAGUCUGUAAAAUUCAAGCAUUUCUUUCUCAGUGAAACCCAUUCCGAUCCAGCCUACUCCACGGCUACUAUUCUGAAAGUCUUGAGCCCAAACCAUUUCUCAGUGAAACCCAUUCAGAUCCAGCCUACUCCACGGCUACUAUUCUGAAAGUCUUGAGCCCAAACCAGUAGGGAGACCAACUCCACAAACAAAAAAGUUUCCCUCCAAAUUUUCAAAUGCGUUUACCACAUUGUUUGUCUUAUUCCUAUUGGGAUUACAAACAAGCAUGGUUUAACACAUUUUUCAUACAAAACCCAAAGAAAUCUCAUUCAUGGUUAUUUUUCUUCAAUUCAAAAAUAACCGUUCAAAGCCUCCCUAAUUGGUUUCAACAAUGGUGGAACUCUUUUGGCCAAAUUCCUUAGAUUUUAACUCCAAAUGCCACCCAUUGUUUAAACCUCUUUAAAACCCAUUAUAUCCCUUCUGAAUCCGAGAAAAGGUUUUCCCUAUUUCUCUGUUUCUGUACAAAUUUCUUCCUCCCAUGGGUAUGGAUGUGGAAUUUCAGAUAUCAUACCCAAGAAGCCCAACUCAUUUUACAAAGAACCUUUAAAGUAAAAUGGUAGUCAAAGUUUGACGAACAGACCAAAUUAACUGACACUCUGAUCCAAAAUUGGCUCUGUUCUAAAGGCUUCUUACCCCCCACCAUCAAAGAUGUCAAAGCCCAAGAAACAUUUCUUACCCAAAAAUCCAAAGCCCAAUCUCUUUUGGCCAGCGCCAAAACUGAAGAAGAAUAUUUUAAAGUUAUGGAGCAGCUCCUCACAUCAAGAUCCAAAUCUUCAGUUGCCGAUUCCUCUGAUGAUGAUGAAGGCAAUGAAGAGCCAUUUAUUUCUCUUGGACAUGAAAAUGAAGACGACUGUUUUGGAAUUUUCUCUCCGAUAAAGCAUUGUAAAUAAUUAUCAUUUGAAAAAAAAAGAGUAAAUUUUCAUUUUUCCGCACUCCCAUUGUAAUUAUUUUUCCAUUUGUAUUUUAGGUAUUUUCCUUUAUUAUAUAUAUGUAUGUUUGUACCUUCGGGUGGUCCCCUGGACACAAGUGAGAGCGCACAUGUCUCUUCACCCGAGUUAUACUUGUAUUUUUAAAAGAAUGUUCAUUUUCGUAACAAAGACUACUGUUCCAAGCUACAAUUUCGCUACAGUUGAGAAGCUACAGUUUAGUUACAGUUGAGAAGCUACAAACUCGCUACAGUUAAAGAUUAAAAUUUUUGUAUAUAAUUCUGGAGGAAGACUUAAAUUCCUCAGAAUUUUCCAAUUCUUCUCUCUCUUUAUCCUCUCCUUCUCUUCUUUUCUCUUUCUCUCUCUCCCUGGGAAUCAGGAAUCGGAAGACAACAAGGAAUUUUUCCUGUCUUCGGAUUAAUUUCCAAUUUCUUCUAUACUUUUCUUUAAAGAAGAACAAAAUAAAGCAAAAUCAAAUGUAAGAUUUGUAGUUCCUUUUAAAGUUUAUAAUAAGUUUAAAGUUCUGUAUGUUUAAAUUUCUGCAAUUUAAUUUAAAGCAUUUUAAUUUCCGCAAUUUAUUUUAAAGCAUUUAAAUUUUAUGCAUGCUUUGCAGACUGAUCUGUAUCAGAUCUGCCAUGUAAAUUGUUACAUUCCUCUGAGGCAACGAGACCAGAUUUCAAUCCUCAGUUGUAUCUUCUCUUCUCCCUCCAUCCAAUCAGAGUGCUAUUUCUGGGAACCAGAUCUAGUACUAUAUAUGAGCCUUUAGAUCUAUUGCUAGGCUUGUUUAAAUAUCUAAUCCAUAUUUGGUAAAGCAUUAAUUAAAAGGGUAUAUCGGCGGGAAUCCAUCGACGUACGUUCUAGAGGUGAACCCGAAUGGGCACUAGUCUGGUCCACACUUAUGGUUAACAAGCCACGUACCAAUUUAAUUAUAAUUAAAAGCAAUCAACCGCAUAUCAAAGAACAACCAUAUUGUUCAAUUGUAGUAUUUGGAGUUUAAAAUUGCAGAUCUUCUUAAUUCGCAUCCAUCCUUCAUAAUUAAACGGUAAUGUGAUCACAUAUACAAUUAAUAAAAAAAAUUUAACAGUAAUGUGAUCUAUAUGUUGUAGGGUAUUUUGGCUUCUAAUUUAAAUGUCAUGUACACGUCUGGGUGCCAAGGAUCCUUAUUUCUAGCAAUAUUUAACCCUCAACAGCAGGUGCUUUUAAAAUGGUAGCUUUUAUUUUUAGAGAAUCACCGUAUAUGGAUAGACAAUUAGUAGUUUCUUUCUUUUUCUUUCUUCCUUUCCUUCCGUAAGUGAGGUGGCAAAAUGAUUAAACAAAUCAUAUUUGAAUUGAAUAGUAAAUGAAUUAGGUCCAAACUCUACUAAUUUGAAUUUGAUUCAUUAAUUAAAUGAAUAUUUUUGGUUUGGUUCGUUUCAUUAGUUUAGUAGAAUUAAUAAAUGAAUUGAAAUGAAUCUACAUUCGCUUACUAUUUGUUCAUUCUAUAAUGAAUUCAUUACUAAUCAAAUUGAAUAUGAAUUCAUUUAUAAAAGUAUAAUUAAAAAUUCUACCAAGCUUUAACAGAGAAGAUUGGAACUUAAGAAAAGAGCAAACAAUAUAAUUUUUUAAAAAGAUAGAAACAAAAAGAAAAAAGAGUACCUUUCACCUAGGGAUGGUAAAAAUUCCCACGAGGACGGGUACCCUCGGAGAUUUUUUCCAUUCGGGGAGGGUAUGGGGAUAAUUUCAUACCCAAUUUCUUAUUCAGGGAAGGGAUAGGGAAAUUUUUUUACCCAAUUUCUUAUUCGGGGAGGGGACGGGGAUGAGGUGGAAUCCUCAUCCCCUAUCCAUUUCCCCAUUUUAAUUUUUAAUUUUUAAAAUUACUAGUAAAUAAAUAAUAAAAUUUGAAUUAUAAAAUUAUAAGUAUUGGUAAAAAUAAAAAUGUCAAAAUAUUUAUAUUAUUAAACUUUUAGGCCUAAUUAACUAAUUAAAGUUCUAAAUUUUUAUUUAGGACAUUAAAAAGACCGGACAGAUUCUAUUAGCCCAAAACUUUUGUUUUAAUUUUAAUAUUCAUUAAAUAUUUUAAACUUCAAUCUAUUUUUUAUUUAUCUUAAAUCUAUUUUUUAUUUAUUUUUAGAUGUUAUAAUUGCCCACAGCAAAUCACAAUUUUAAUAUCUAAUCUAAUCUAAUAUUUGCACUUGAUUUGCUUCGACUUAACUAUUGUGUUGUAAAGGGAAUAGUCCACAUUUAUAAAGUGUCCACGCCACCAUUGAAAAAUUAAUUUUGAAUCUAAAUUUGAUUUUAUUUCUAACAAUUUUGUAUUAUGCUAUUAAUUUAUUCAUGAUAGUUUGUAUCACUUGCAUGCUGCAUUACUUACUAAUUUAAUGUAUGUGACUUUUGUAAUGGAUAUUAAUGUAAGAUAUAUUUCGAACUUUACUUUUAUUUGAAUUUUUUAUUUUAAUAUGAUUAACUCAAAAUAGGAAACAAAAAAAAUGUAUUAGUUAUUCAGGGAUCAGGGACCCUCGGGGAUCCCCUGUUAUUAUUCGGGGAGGAGAUGAAGAUUCUCUGAAAUAAUUUUGACGGGAUGAGGAGGGGACGGGGACAUACGCAAAAUAUCGGGGAUAGGUACGGGGAGAUUGGUCCCCUUCCCUCCCCUCCCCGUCGCAAUUUAUCAUCCCAAAUAUUUAAAGUUAAAAAACGAGGUGAUGUCUUUUCGAGGCCACCUAAUCGCCACAAUUAAAUUGCCUUCUUAGUACUGCCUUCAUUACCUGUUUACCACCAUGUUCAUUUUGGAAUCACUUCACCACUUUGUCUCCACCCAGGUGGUGUUGAUUUUAUGAAUUGAUGUAUAAAUAUAUGCAUAGGGGCGUUUUUUCGUGUUCCUAAAAUACCUUAUAAUACAUGAUACAUCAAAUUCUAAAAUUAUUUCAAUAGAGUAAUUUUAAAAUUAUUUUCUUAUGUUUUAUUAGAACCUCUAUAAAUUAAUAUUCGAUAA
RNAcentral lists this long non-coding RNA (31322 nucleotides) under Citrus x clementina. RNAcentral's name for it is "Citrus clementina (C. clementina) long non-coding RNA (CCLE_LNC002649)". The record is from RNAcentral. Lineage: Eukaryota; Viridiplantae; Streptophyta; Magnoliopsida; Sapindales; Rutaceae.